RNAcentral lists this ribosomal RNA (425 nucleotides) under uncultured bacterium. RNAcentral's name for it is "partial 16S ribosomal RNA". It matches the Rfam family "Bacterial small subunit ribosomal RNA", at positions 354 to 796 of the family's 1533-position model. The record is from RNAcentral.
GUGGGGAAUCUUAGACAAUGGGGGCAACCCUGAUCUAGCCAUGCCGCGUGAGUGAUGAAGGCCUUAGGGUUGUAAAGCUCUUUCAGUGGGGAAGAUAAUGACGGUACCCACAGAAGAAGCCCCGGCUAACUCCGUGCCAGCAGCCGCGGUAAUACGGAGGGGGCUAGCGUUGUUCGGAAUUACUGGGCGUAAAGCGCACGUAGGCGGAUCGGAAAGUUGGGGGUGAAAUCCCAGGGCUCAACCCUGGAACUGCCUUCAAAACUAUCGGUCUGGAGUCCGAGAGAGGUGAGUGGAAUUCCGAGUGUAGAGGUGAAAUUCGUAGAUAUUCGGAGGAACACCAGUGGCGAAGGCGGCUCACUGGCUCGGUACUGACGCUGAGGUGCGAAAGCGUGGGGAGCAAACAGGAUUAGAUACCCCAGUAGUCC